GAUGAAGAACGUAGCGAAAUGCGAUACGUAAUGUGAAUUGCAGAAUUCAGUGAAUCAUCGAGUCUUUGAACGCACAUUGCGCCCCCUGGUAUUCCGGGGGGCAUGCCUGUCCGAGCGUCAUUGCUGCCCUCAAGCCCGGCUUGUGUGUUGGGCCUCGUCCCCCCUCCGGGGGACGGGCCCGAAAGGCAGCGGCGGCACCGUGUCCGGUCCUCGAGCGUAUGGGGCUUUGUCACCCGCUCUGUAGGCCCGGCCGGCGCCUUAGCCGACGACACAAUCUUUUUUUUCAGGUUGACCUCGGAUCAGGUAGGGAUACCCGCUGAACUUAAGCAUAUCAAUAAGCGGAGGA
Molecule: unclassified non-coding RNA, 346 nt
Filed under: soil metagenome
Description: partial contains 5.8S ribosomal RNA, internal transcribed spacer 2, and large subunit ribosomal RNA
Rfam family: 5.8S ribosomal RNA (bases 1-120)
Source: RNAcentral